CCUACGGGGGGCAGCAGUGAGGAAUAUUGGUCAAUGGCCGCAAGGCUGAACCAGCCAAGUCGCGUGAAGGAUGACGGUCCUAUGCAUUGUAAACUCCUUUUGUACGGGAGCAAAGUGCGUCACGUGUGGCGUUUUGCGAGUACCUGAUGAAUAAGCACCGGCUAAAUCCGUGCCAGCAGCCGCGGUAAUACGGAGGGUACGAGCGUUAUCCGGAUUUAUUGGGUUUAAAGGGUGCGGAGGCGGAAUGUUAAGUCAGCCGUGAAAAUCCCGGGCUUAACCCUGGCAGUGCGGUUGAACCUGGCGUGCUUGAGUGAGCGAGAGGUAUGCGGAAUUCGUGGUGUAGCGGUGAAAUGCGUAGAUAUCACGAAGAACUCCGAUGGCGAAGGCAGCAUACCGGCGCUCAACUGACGCUGAGGCUCGAAAGCGUGGGUAUCGAACAGGAUUAGAUACCCGAGUAGUC
This 460-nucleotide ribosomal RNA is filed under the name uncultured bacterium. Its description in RNAcentral is "partial 16S ribosomal RNA". It matches the Rfam family "Bacterial small subunit ribosomal RNA", at positions 338 to 795 of the family's 1533-position model. The record is from RNAcentral.